This 422-nucleotide ribosomal RNA is filed under the name uncultured Parafilimonas sp. Its description in RNAcentral is "bacterial SSU rRNA". It matches the Rfam family "Bacterial small subunit ribosomal RNA", at positions 353 to 772 of the family's 1533-position model. The record is from RNAcentral. Lineage: Bacteria; Pseudomonadati; Bacteroidota; Chitinophagia; Chitinophagales; Chitinophagaceae.
AGUAAGGAAUAUUGGUCAAUGGACGAAAGUCUGAACCAGCCAUGCCGCGUGGAGGAUGAAGGUCCUCUGGAUUGUAAACUUCUUUUAUUUGGGACGAAAAAAGAUCAUUCUUGAUCACUUGACGGUACCAGAUGAAUAAGCACCGGCUAACUCCGUGCCAGCAGCCGCGGUAAUACGGAGGGUGCAAGCGUUAUCCGGAUUUACUGGGUUUAAAGGGUGCGCAGGCGGAUAUGUAAGUCAGUGGUGAAAUCUCUAGGCUUAACCUGGAAAUUGCCGUUGAUACUAUAUAUCUUGAAUGCUGUGGAGGUAAGCGGAAUAUGUCAUGUAGCGGUGAAAUGCUUAGAUAUGACAUAGAACACCUAUUGCGAAGGCAGCUUACUACGCAGAUAUUGACGCUCAUGCACGAAAGCGUGGGGAUCAAA